UGAGUGAUGAAGGCCUUAGGGUUGUAAAGCUCUUUCGCACGCGUCGAUGAUGACGGUAGCGUGAGAAGAAGCCCCGGCUAACUUCGUGCCAGCAGCCGCGGUAAUACGAAGGGGGCUAGCGUUGUUCGGAAUUACUGGGCGUAAAGGGCGCGUAGGCGGCCUGUUUAGUCAGAAGUGAAAGCCCCGGGCUCAACCUGGGAAUAGCUUUUGAUACUGGCAGGCUUGAGUUCCGGAGAGGAUGGUGGAAUUCCCAGUGUAGAGGUGAAAUUCGUAGAUAUUGGGAAGAACACCGGUGGCGAAGGCGGCCAUCUGGACGGACACUGACGCUGAGGCGCGAAAGCGUGGGGAGCAAACAGGAUUAGAUAACCUGGUUGUCCACACCGUAAAACA
This 390-nucleotide ribosomal RNA is filed under the name uncultured bacterium. Its description in RNAcentral is "bacterial SSU rRNA". It matches the Rfam family "Bacterial small subunit ribosomal RNA", at positions 402 to 809 of the family's 1533-position model. The record is from RNAcentral.